This is a long non-coding RNA of Oreochromis aureus, 728 nucleotides long. Lineage: Eukaryota; Metazoa; Chordata; Actinopteri; Cichliformes; Cichlidae. The record is from Ensembl.
GUUACAGCCCUGUUGAAUCUGCUGUGUGUCCUGCUGCUCUUUCUAACUCACUCAGAUAAUACUUCUCCUGACUCCACUCAGCAAUCAGCACUGAGGGCAAAGCUGAGCUCUGACUACAGAGAGCUCAGAGAUUUCCACUGUUCACAUACUGAAGCAGGAGUUGCCCAGCCAUGAAGAGAGGGGUUCUCCGGAGGUGAAUGUCACACCAAAGCUGAAAGUUUCAACUGAGCUCCUCGAGAUCCUGAAUGAUUUAGAUGAUGUGGACUUUGACACCUUUAAGUGGCACCUCAAGUCUGAAUCGAAGAAAAACAUCAAGCCCAUCCAACAGAGCAGGCUGACGAAGGCAGAGCGGCAUGCAAUGGUGGAUCUCAUGGUGAAGAAGUAUGAGAUAAGUGGAGCUGUAGAAGUGAUGGAGAGCGUUUUAAUGAAGAUCAGCAGGAAUGACCUGGUGGAAAAGUUGAGACUCUUAACUGAGGAUGCAUAAAUCUGACAUUUAGAUCAGAUAUCGACCAAAUCCUGAGUAGAACAUCUGAAUUUAAUCUUGGUAACAAAACAAAUUUAAGACCAGUCCAUUCAGUUAAAUCCCAUUCAGGCAUUUAUUGGACAGAUGGUAAGAUAAUGUGUUCUGGCUCUUAAUUUUGCUUAAUUUUUACUGUGUGCAGAGAGAGGUGCACUCAGUGACAUCUGCCUGUCAAAUUUGCUUUGUUUUGUUUGUGUGCGCAGUGCUG